UUACGACUACAUAUCAGGCAUAUCAAUAAGCGGAGGAAAAGAAACUAACAAGGAUUCCCCUAGUAACGGCGAGUGAAGCGGGAAGAGCUCAAAUUUGAAAUCUUAAAGGGUUUCCCUUUACGAAUUGUAGUUUAAAGAAGUGUUUUCUGUUGGAGUUUCGGUAGAAAGUUCUUUGGAAUAGGACAUCAUAGAGGGUGAGAAUCCCGUAUUUGACCGUUACUUUCCAGCUGUGUGAUACACUUUCAAAGAGUCGGAUUGUUUGGGAAUGCAGUCCAAGAUGGGUGGUAAAUUUCAUCUAAAGCUAAAUAUUGGCAAGAGACCGAUAGCGAACAAGUACCGUGAGGGAAAGAUGAAAAGAACUUUGAGAAGGAGAGUUAAACAGUACGUGAAAUUGUCAAAAGGGGAAGCGUUUGACACCAGUGUUGUUUUUCCGAAAAUCAAUUAAGAAGUGGCUUGAUUUUGUGUUGUAUUGACCUUAUCAGCUUUCUUCACUCUUUUUCGAGUCUUUCUUAAUGCACUUUUCGGUUAACAAGUCAACAUCAAUUUCUUUUGUUGUAAAAGGGUAUUUGGAAGGUGGCUUGCGCUUUCGGAUCAGAGUGUUUAUAGCCUUUAUACCUCUAGCAAUCGGAGAGAUUGAGGUCUGCAGCGUAGAUCCCUUCGGGGCUAGAUACACUUGUGCUAAGUUAUAGCUUUUCAUAGACAACUUGUUGACUAUGUUUAGUCAUGUAGCUUACCCGCUUGUGCUAUUUUACCUACGCUUAGGAUGUUGAUCUACAGAGCGAGAGU
Molecule: ribosomal RNA, 786 nt
Filed under: uncultured Neocallimastigales
Lineage: Eukaryota; Fungi; Neocallimastigomycota; Neocallimastigomycetes; Neocallimastigales
Description: partial large subunit ribosomal RNA
Rfam family: Eukaryotic large subunit ribosomal RNA
Source: RNAcentral